This 856-nucleotide ribosomal RNA is filed under the name uncultured bacterium. RNAcentral describes it as "bacterial SSU rRNA". It matches the Rfam family "Bacterial small subunit ribosomal RNA", at positions 74 to 926 of the family's 1533-position model. The record is from RNAcentral.
GUGUAGCAAUACACUUGUAAAGCGGCGAACGGGUGAGGAAUACAUGGGUAAUCUACCAUCGAGUGGGGAAUAACCAGCCGAAAGGUUGGCUAAUACCGCGUACGCCUCCGGAUCUUCGGGUUCGGAGGGAAAGCCACACUGUGAGUGCGGCGCUCUUUGAUGAGCUCAUGUCCUAUCAGCUUGUUGGUAGGGUAACGGCCUACCAAGGCUUUGACGGGUAGCUGGUCUGAGAGGACGAUCAGCCACACUGGCACUGCGACACGGGCCAGACUCCUACGGGAGGCAGCAGUAAGGAAUAUUGCGCAAUGGGCGAAAGCCUGACGCAGCGACGCCGCGUGGGGGAUGAAGGUCUUCGGAUUGUAAACCCCUUUCGGGAGGGAAGAUGGAGCGAGCAAUCGUUCGGACGGUACCUCCAGAAGCAGCCACGGCCAACUUCGUGCCAGCAGCCGCGGUAAUACGAAGGUGGCAAGCGUUGUUCGGAUUCACUGGGCGUACAGGGUGUGUAGGCGGUUUGGUAAGCCUUCUGUUAAAGCUUCGGGCCCAACCCGGAAAGCGCAGAGGGUACUGCCAGGCUAGAGGGUGGGAGAGGAGCGCGGAAUUCCCGGUGUAGCGGUGAAAUGCGUAGAGAUCGGGAGGAAGGCCAGUGGCGAAGGCGGCGCUCUGGAACAUGCCUGACGCUGAGACACGAAAGCGUGGGGGAGCAAACAGGAUUAGAUACCCUGGUAGUCCACGCCCUAAACUAUGGAUACUAAGUGUCGGCGGGUUACCGCCGGUGCCGCAGCUAACGCAUUAAGUAUCCCGCCUGGGAAGUACGGCCGCAAGGUUGAAACUCAAAGGAAUUGACGGGGGCCCGCAC